CAGAGGUCUCAAGCGUUGUUCGGAUUUAUUGGGCGUAAAGGGUGUGUAGGUGGUCUGGUAAGUCGGAUGUGAAAUCCCGGGGCUCAACCCCGGAACUGCAUUCGAUACUGCUGCGCUAGAGUACUGGAGAGGAGAUUGGAAUUUACGGUGUAGCAGUGAAAUGCGUAGAUAUCGUAAGGAAGACCAGUGGCGAAGGCGGAUCUCUGGACAGUUACUGACACUGAGGCACGAAGGCCAGGGGAGCAAACGGG
Molecule: ribosomal RNA, 251 nt
Filed under: uncultured bacterium
Lineage: Bacteria
Description: partial 16S ribosomal RNA
Rfam family: Bacterial small subunit ribosomal RNA
Source: RNAcentral